AACCAAUCACCCCAACAGCUCUACAAGAUGUGACAAUUUAAAGGACUGCACUGAAGGGAAUCCACGGGCCCAGGAAGGGAGAGCUCCACUCUUCCAAUCCUACUACACCAAGCUGAAUGAGGAGCCUUCUGGAACUUGGCGAUGGGCCGGGGGUGGACAGAUCCUGCUUCUCACCUGGAUAAUUCUUAAGGCAGGACACAAGCUAGAGCUACCCACAACAGCAAGUUGGGGAGACAGUGGUAGCAGCUGGCCAAACUGGACUUGCCUCAUUUAGCAAGUGGUUUCCCUCGAUCACAGGGAAGCAAUAGCAGAAAGCUGGGUUCCAGGUGAGAGCUAAAUUGUUGAGACUUCACCGACGAGGGCUGCUGGCAAAGUGGGCUCAAGUCUCAGAGGUGGCUGCAGGUGUGCCCUUUGUGACUGGGAAAGGGUGUGAGAUUGUAAAGACCCAGUUGGGAAGCGCAUUCCAGGAUCAGACAACUAUGGCACUGACAAUCCUUACAGCGAGCCUGAAGAACCCACAAAUGGGUGGAAAAGAACCAGCCCUGGGGCCUCUGCUGCAGUGGGGCUGCCAACAGCCAGGUUGUAAGAGUGCCCGCCAUGAAAGACUCUCCUCUUUUUCUCUGACUCCUGCCCUCUGCCCCUGUCCUAGAGGAUC
This 655-nucleotide long non-coding RNA is filed under the name Homo sapiens (human). RNAcentral's name for it is "HSALNT0134584". The record is from RNAcentral. Lineage: Eukaryota; Metazoa; Chordata; Mammalia; Primates; Hominidae.